RNAcentral lists this unclassified non-coding RNA (3678 nucleotides) under Dermacentor andersoni. Its description in RNAcentral is "uncharacterized LOC126542825". The record is from RNAcentral. Lineage: Eukaryota; Metazoa; Arthropoda; Arachnida; Ixodida; Ixodidae.
CUAUCCGCCCUCUAGAGGGAAAUCUCUGAAUGUCGGCAUCCAUUUUGGAUUUCAUCUCCGUUUGAGUAUGGAAAAGAAAUGUUGUGUCAAGAAUUGCCGCACUAACUCGGGAAAAAAUACCAAGGACAUUUUAUUCUUCAACUUUCCAAAAGCUCAGAAUCAAAGGAAAGAGUGGGAAAAAGCCAUAAACGUGAGAUGUUUUAAAUCCAAUAAUGCCACACUGCUGUGCUCCCGCCACUUCCUUGAAAACAACUUUCACGCGAUUCGCGGUCGAUCAGUGUUGAAAAAAAAUGCAGUGCCAUCGUUGGAAUUAAAUCCAAAGCCCGAGAAGGAGAAGGCACGGUUGUGUGUAAAGAAGCAAGUGGCAAAAGAGACGAAAAAGGGAGAGAAAAAGAAUUUGGAAAAGGGCACCAUACCAAACCAAAAGACAGCACCGUGUGAAGCAAAAGAGACGAAACCGGUAGAGAAAAAGAACUUGUCAAAAUGUUUAGUUUGCCAGCAACCAGUUGCUUUCAUGUACGAGUUUCUCACCGACGCUCACGCCCACAGAGCAUUUGCCUUGAAGAAAUUCAUCUGUGGUCAUUGCCUCCAUGAGUUUGAGAGCUUCAGCGACAUGAUGUCGCAUGUCACUAGCCUUGGAUCGGCUAAGGAGUAUGUGCCUGACAGAAGUGAAGUAGCACCAGUUCCUCGAAUGGCUCCACGUCGAGAGUAUCCUUGUCCACAGUGCAAUGCUGUCUUUGGAACCACUAUGGCAAGACUCUAUCACGAAGUUACUCAUACUGCUGUAAGUGAGGAAGAUUUCUGCAAGCAGCUGAAGCUCAAGGCAAAUGUUGUGGAUGCAUAUGAGGAGAGUACUACCAACAGGCGUGAGAAGACUGCUGCCAGGAAGCCACUACUAGCGGGGAGACGACGUAAGAUUCUUGCUGCUGAUCCAUCUGAAAUCUGUUUUGAUGAACCACAAGAGAAAAGAAAAUCUCAGUCUCCUGAGCAUGAACAAGAAACAAAAAAGCUGUGCAGGGCAAACACCCCAACUGGUAGAAAGCAGUUGAAUACCCUCAGUUCAUUAUCACCGCAGAGGAAACAGGAGCUUGUGUCAAUAGUUUACUGUAAUUGGUGUGAACAGAAAUUCAUGAGCCUAAGGCUUUUGGACAAGCACUAUUGGUCUCAGCACCCAAACAUGGACAUCCCUUUGGACCUUGCUUUCGAGGUGGGCAGUGGGGAUGUGACACCCAGACUGACACCGUGCUCAGCGUGUGCUAAACGGACUGCAUGUGUAAAAGCCAUACAAAAAUUGCUUGAUGAAGCUGUAACUGAUGUUGAAACAAUACCCUGAGAUUGCCACUGUGCUCUUAUUUUUAAAUAGCGUUGAAAAAAUGUCAGGCUGGUGGAAAGAGGAGCAACUUUGUCAUAAUUGCAUUGCUCAUUACUCUGUGGUUGUCUGUUGCUUGUCUCCUUGACUUAGCUGCCCUUUCUGUGCAAGUUCUGUGCAUGGCCAGUUUACACUCACUGAACCUGUAUCACAGCAGCAACAGCAGUGAAGUGUGUGUCUGGGCAUCCUGCCAGCUUAUGUCCUCUAAUCUAAAAAAAACGGCCCCAAUAAAAUGGCUAAUGUUGUUGGUGCUUGUAAAGCUGGAUUUGUUUGUUGUGACAUGUAGAAGGCUGUUAGGGUUCAACAUAAUGAACUGUGGAAUGUUGAAUCUUCAUUGAAAAGUGCAAUGACAGAAAGCUCUUCCAAAUGCUGCAGAUGUGGUAUUGAAGAUGUCACACAUUUGAAUUAUGAAUUGGUUGUCAAAACACCGCACCUCACACAAGUUUGUGCGGAACUUGCAUGUCUUGGUCUGGAUGUGUUGUCCAGUGCAUAUUUAUGCAAGACUGAGGGCAUUAUUGUACUUUCUUUGUUUUGUGCUUUGAAACACUACAAAAUUGCAGCCAGAAGUAGAGUAGUUUGCAUGAUGAACAGUUUACAUGUGGCUUACAUGAUGAACAUAGGCUAUGUUGCAUGAAUAAAGCUGUGUUGCUAUUGGAUAUGGUUAAGAGCUAAUGUACAAAAUAAUAAGAAUAAAUGUAAUAGUAUACAAGAAUGUUAGGUAUUUUACAUUUCUAACUACAAAACGAUGCAUAACUCCUUUCAUGUACUGACCUACAUCAUGGCCCUCGGUUUUAAUAGAAAUAAACUUCAGUUUGUUUGCAUUUACAGUGCUCAUGGCAUUUCAAAUUAGUUCAUUCUUUCUCACUAAGUGCACAAUGUCUUGGAAAUAACCUGUCUUGGUAACUUCAGGCAUAGGAAAAUUCAUGUUAAGUUAUUCUCCUGAAUAAGCUAAUGUAAAUACUCUUCUUUCUUGUGCACAUUACUUUUAAGGGAUUUUGAAUUGCAGUGUCCUGAGCAUUGUGUCCAGUACCAAAUGACAGCUGCUCAUUGUGACCAGAAGCAUUAAAGAAAACAGACAAAUUAAGGUUUUGUUUAGUUAUGAGAAAUGUUUUCCAAAAGCACAUCAUAAAGAAAAUUUUGUCUACUCUUGAGCAUGUAGGGCCUCAUGAUUGUGCUGUGCAAUUUUUAUUUGACAACGUUGUGGCCAUUCCACAACCCUGUGCCCCCUCUCUCGUCAUCAUACUAUGCCAUUACGAGAUGCACUGUCUAAAGAGCCCACCUUGAGUCUUACCAUGGUACAUAUAUCUGGCAGUGUCUUGGCGAGCGAGUCUGUUCUGUUAACCCAUAGUGAAAUGUUUAGAGCAUGGGUUUUCUUUUGUUCCUAAUUAUUAUUCAGUGUUUCUUCAAUUCAUACACCUGACCUUGAGAUGUGCAUAUUAUGCAUCAGAGAUCUUGAUUGUGUGUAUGCUCACGGCUACCUCCCUAGCUUACGAGAGAGAUGUGCUAGGGCAUGCACAUGAUGCUUCUGUGAGAGAGGCAAAAGAACUUUUAGGCUUGGCACAAAGGUAAAUGUCUGCUUUCUCGUUUAACUGACGAGUAGAGCCUAAAUUUUUUUACUGGUACUUACUGUACAUAUACGGUAGCUGACGGAAUGGCAUCAUCAUGACUGACAUAACAUAAGCACGGUGGCUGCAAACUUUGUAAACAUGUGAUCCAUUUAUCUCGGUGCUUCAAAAGCCGAAGUCAGGAAUAGUGCUUUAGUCCCAAGUUUGCGACUUCAAAUUUGCUGUGCAUGGGAAAUGAGGGACACUGUCCCAUGUUGUAGGCAUUCAUUUUUUAGGCAGUCAACAAAUUUUAAUAAUAAACGGCCUUUUUGGUACAGUAGCGUCGGUACCGACAACUUUGUGGAUUGAAUUGUGAACCUAUCAUUUAGUGUCGCAGUUGGAGGAAUGCCAAAACAAGACUGUAGUGUUGACGUGUGGGGGGCACAUGUGGUUACCUCUCGGAGCAAUCCUGCUUGAUCAUUAUUAGUGUAACGAAAAAAAAUGCAGGCCCAACAUUUCUUUGGAGGCUUGCAGCACCAACAUUGCAGCCACUGGUUUCACUAUAUGCCUUCCUUCUUUUCUUCCUCUAUUCUGUUCAUGCCCUUGACCACCUUUUCACGCACUGUGCUAAAUGUCUGCUUUUAGCAUGAAUUGUUUGAUGGAAUGAGCGCUUCUUGAAUAUGUUUCCUCAUGAUACCACCUUCUGCUAUCACAAUGUUAUUAGCUUGUACAAAUAAAGACAAAAAACAAUUUUUGAAGAGAGAA